RNAcentral lists this ribosomal RNA (618 nucleotides) under Lentilactobacillus buchneri. Its description in RNAcentral is "bacterial SSU rRNA". It matches the Rfam family "Bacterial small subunit ribosomal RNA", at positions 116 to 719 of the family's 1533-position model. Lineage: Bacteria; Bacillati; Bacillota; Bacilli; Lactobacillales; Lactobacillaceae. The record is from RNAcentral.
CGUGGGUAACCUGCCCUUGAAGUAGGGGAUAACACUUGGAAACAGGUGCUAAUACCGUAUAACAACCAAAACCACCUGGUUUUGGUUUAAAAGACGGCUUCGGCUGUCACUUUAGGAUGGACCCGCGGCGUAUUAGCUUGUUGGUAAGGUAACGGCCUACCAAGGCGAUGAUACGUAGCCGACCUGAGAGGGUAAUCGGCCACAUUGGGACUGAGACACGGCCCAAACUCCUACGGGAGGCAGCAGUAGGGAAUCUUCCACAAUGGACGAAAGUCUGAUGGAGCAACGCCGCGUGAGUGAUGAAGGGUUUCGGCUCGUAAAACUCUGUUGUUGGAGAAGAACAGGUGUCAGAGUAACUGUUGACAUCUUGACGGUAUCCAACCAGAAAGCCACGGCUAACUACGUGCCAGCAGCCGCGGUAAUACGUAGGUGGCAAGCGUUGUCCGGAUUUAUUGGGCGUAAAGCGAGCGCAGGCGGUUUUUUAGGUCUGAUGUGAAAGCCUUCGGCUUAACCGGAGAAGUGCAUCGGAAACCGGGAGACUUGAGUGCAGAAGAGGACAGUGGAACUCCAUGUGUAGCGGUGAAAUGCGUAGAUAUAUGGAAGAACACCAGUGGCGAA